GACGAACGCUGGCGGCGUGCCUAAUACAUGCAAGUAGAACGCACAGUUUAUACCGUAGCUUGCUACACCAUAGACUGUGAGUUGCGAACGGGUGAGUAACGCGUAGGUAACCUGCCUGGUAGCGGGGGAUAACUAUUGGAAACGAUAGCUAAUACCGCAUCAUAUUAAUUAUUGCAUGAUAAUUGAUUGAAAGCUGCAACUGCAUCACUACCAGAUGGACCUGCGUUGUAUUAGCUAGUAGGUGAGGUAACGGCUCACCUAGGCGACGAUACAUAGCCGACCUGAGAGGGUGAUCGGCCACACUGGGACUGAGACACGGCCCAGACUCCUACGGGAGGCAGCAGUAGGGAAUCUUCGGCAAUGGACGAAAGUCUGACCGAGCAACGCCGCGGGAGUGAAGAAGGUUUUCGGAUCGUAAAGCUCUGUUGUAAGAGAAGAACGGGUGUGAGAGUGGAAAGUUCACACUGUGACGGUAGCUUACCAGAAAGGGACGGCUAACUACGUG
RNAcentral lists this ribosomal RNA (505 nucleotides) under uncultured bacterium. Its description in RNAcentral is "partial 16S ribosomal RNA". It matches the Rfam family "Bacterial small subunit ribosomal RNA", at positions 28 to 507 of the family's 1533-position model. The record is from RNAcentral.